CGGCAUUCAUCCAUUCAACAAUUAGAUCGCUCUAAAUUCUUCCUUUUCUUCGCUAUCUAGCUUUAUAAAUCUCGGAUUUACGAACAAUUUCGCUAUUGAUUGCUUGAUUUGAGAGCAAAUCGGUAUUAGUCAAUGCCUUUUUAUUGAUUUUGAAAAUGAAAAAUGUAAGCUAUCAUUUUCAAAUAAUUGAAAAUCUCUGAAAGUAACACUAUACCAUAUUUUGAUUGAAACUUGCAUCCUUCUGAAAGUGUAGGCUGAAAAUGAAGCAAAAAGCGUG
RNAcentral lists this unclassified non-coding RNA (277 nucleotides) under Hevea brasiliensis (rubber tree). The record is from RNAcentral. Lineage: Eukaryota; Viridiplantae; Streptophyta; Magnoliopsida; Malpighiales; Euphorbiaceae.